CCUACGGGGGGCAGCUGUGAGGAAUAUUGGUCAAUGGACGAGAGUCUGAACCAGCCAAGUAGCGUGAAGGAUGACUGCCCUAUGGGUUGUAAACUUCUUUUAUAUGGGAAUAAAACGUUCCACGUGUGGGAUUUUGUAUGUACCAUAUGAAUAAGGAUCGGCUAACUCCGUGCCAGCAGCCGCGGUAAUACGGAGGAUCCGAGCGUUAUCCGGAUUUAUUGGGUUUAAAGGGAGCGUAGGUGGAUUGUUAAGUCAGUUGUGAAAGUUUGCGGCUCAACCGUAAAAUUGCAGUUGAAACUGGCAGUCUUGAGUACAGUAGAGGUGGGCGGAAUUCGUGGUGUAGCGGUGAAAUGCUUAGAUAUCACGAAGAACUCCGAUUGCGAAGGCAGUUCACUGGACUGCAACUGACACUGAGGCUCGAAAGUGUGGGUAUCAAACAGGAUUAGAUACCCGAGUAGUC
This 460-nucleotide ribosomal RNA is filed under the name uncultured bacterium. RNAcentral describes it as "partial 16S ribosomal RNA". It matches the Rfam family "Bacterial small subunit ribosomal RNA", at positions 338 to 795 of the family's 1533-position model. The record is from RNAcentral.